GGGCCCGCACAAGCGGUGGAGUAUGUGGUUUAAUUCGACGCAACGCGAAGAACCUUACCAGGCCUUGACAUCCCUUGCAAAGCUGUAGAGAUACAGUAGAGGUUAUCAAGGAGACAGGUGGUGCAUGGUUGUCGUCAGCUCGUGUCGUGAGAUGUUGGGUUAAGUCCCGCAACGAGCGCAACCCUUGCCUUCAGUUACCAGCAUUCAGUUGGGGACUCUGGAGGGACUGCCGGUGAUAAACCGGAGGAAGGUGGGGAUGACGUCAAAUCAUCAUGCCCCUUAUGGCCUGGGCUACACACGUACUACAAUGGCUGUUACAACGUGCAGCGACCUAGCGAUAGGAAGCGAAUCACUAAAAGACAGUCUCAGUUCGGAUUGAAGUCUGCAACUCGACUUCANNNNNNNNNNGCGGAUCAGAAUGCCGCGGUGAAUACGUUCUCGGGCCUUGUACACACCGCCCGUCAUACCAUGAGAGCUGGUAAUACCCGAAGCCGGUGGCCUAACCGCAAGGAAGGAGCCGUCGAAGGUAGGACUAGUGAUUGGGGUCAAGUCGUAACAAGGUAUCCCUACGAGAACGUGGGGAUGGAUCACCUCCUUUCUAAGGAGA
This 607-nucleotide ribosomal RNA is filed under the name Rothia mucilaginosa. Its description in RNAcentral is "bacterial SSU rRNA". It matches the Rfam family "Bacterial small subunit ribosomal RNA", at positions 917 to 1533 of the family's 1533-position model. The record is from RNAcentral. Lineage: Bacteria; Bacillati; Actinomycetota; Actinomycetes; Micrococcales; Micrococcaceae.